AUCUGUAAGUGAAGUAUAUUUAAGUUUGCAGAAAGCACAAAUCUUUUUAAAGCUCUUUGACUUUUUUUUUCUUUCUCUUGGUUAUUGGGAGUGCGCACACUUAGUUUUUUCAUCUUACAUUUUUUCUUUAGUAUGCUUUGGAAGCACUGCUCUGCACUGUUUAUAAAUCACAUUUUAAGCCCUCUUCAAAAUGUCUUGGCUCCUGAAUGGCUUGAAAUCAUCUGCACUUAGGGUGUGCUGAGGCCCCUAAGUUGGUUCGGUGGUUCACCUGCUUUCUCCCUGUAUUCUGCACCACACUGGUUGCAAUCAGUUGUUUCUAAAGUUGUUUCUAAUCUGAUCUGUUUGGGUGCAGAGCUUUGCUUUGUACAACUUUGCCAUUUCGACUGACACCUGGUGAGUGUGGUUUCUCUAUUCAAAGUAAGCUGCUCAUCUGAACUUGGCAGUUAAUAAGCAUAGCGUUACGUCUUAGUGGUCAAACAACUGAGAUCAAACUGUUCCGUUUCUGUAAUUGCCAGAAAGCUGCGGCUUUCCUUUUUACGUGUAGUCACAUGUGCACGUGAUAGGAAAGGAAUGAGAGUGGUUCUUAUAAUUGGUUUUGACCUUUCUUUUUUUUCUUGAAAGUGUGAUUUAUAAUUGUUUUAUUUCUGUAUGAGCCGUAUUUGGUACAGGUUACGCAUCCUUGUAGUGUUUUGUCAGUUAAUGGUUUGCAUACUGUCAUAAAUUGUAAGAGGUGUCUUGAGAAGAUUUUAGUCCUUUGGAGUACAGGCAUUGUUAGCCUCUUGUUCAUCUGUCUUUUGCACUGCUACAGGAAAGCUUUUCAAGGUUCAGUAGCUUUGCUUUAACCUGCAAAUACAAUUAAAUUCAAUGAAGCACUGAAAGGAAUAAGGUGUUGGGCAUACUAUAUAUUUCUUGACCCGCACACUUCGUGAAAGGAAAAUAAAUAAGAGUAAUAGGCACUGUCAAAAAUAACUUUGUUAUACUUCAGAGGAGAUGCUGUUUUUGCUGAGCCAGGUGAUCUGUUCAUCUUUCCUGUAAAAAAAUAAAACAGUGGGUAUAUUUAGUUGAAAUGCAGUCGGUGUAACCCAAAAGCAUUCACUGUGUAAGUAUUAUAGAAUUUAGACCAGGUGUCUUGUGACAGCAUGCUCUUAAGCUUUCCCAAUACACUUGUAUGCUGACUUUUUAUCUCACGGUGUUUGUUCUAAAACUGUGAAAAUCAGCUAUUUAUCAUUUAUAUUCCAUGGAACAUCUUUAAGAUUUGGAAGGCAAGGCCUGCAUAGCCAGCUCACCAACCCCACCAAGUGGCAAGGGAUGAUUAAGUACUACAAUUUUCAUACUGACUCAAAAUCUAUGUGGCCUUUCAAGGUUAUGUUUGUUUGUUUUUAUUCACUGUUGUUUUUUUUUUCUUUGCCUGUGGAAGAGCUGUGGGUAUUUUUGUUGUUUUGUUUUGUGUGUGGGGGGUUGUUUCUUUGAGAGCAAGGGGAAGUGGUAGAGAAGAAAGCAUGUCUGAAGACUGUGCAUUUAAGUAGCUAAAAUCUUCAGUACUUUUGUGCAUCUCAGGUUGGUUUGAGCCUGUCACUGUUCCUGGUGUUAGCUAAAUGGCUUUCUUCACACAAGUUCUGCAUGUGACAGCUCUGUCCAAGCACCCUUUUACAGACAGCUUAGUGAGCUCUGUGGUAGGGUUGGAAGUUGCUCCUAAACAAGGCCAGCUACCACUGGAGCUAGGACAGGUAGGCAGAGAGAUGCCUCUGGUAUGAAAGGUACCUUGGAGUCUUGCAGCCAGGUGCUCUGGGUGACGUGUGCAUACUGGUGGUACUGAUGGGAGCUGCCUGGGGUCUGGAGAUGCUUCAGUGGCUCUGUGGCAUAUGUGUAGUUCAGCUGCACGGUGCAUCUGCAGUAAAUCAGCAUGGAGUUUGCAGCCUACGAUUUAAUCAGAAGCACAGCAUGUGUUCCCUAAGCCUGCUAUUUCCUGGAAAUGCCAACCUAACUGUCCUUGUAUUGCGUAUGCUUUUGUUUUCUCUGUACAGAGAACCUGGUCUCAGUGAAACAGAGGUGACCCUCGAUCAGUGUUUAAGAUUUUUUUCAGUGUUUACCAUUCCAGUUAGGUGCUUCCAGAAAAUGAUGUGCUGAACUUCUGCUUCAGUGUGCUGGCUCACACAGACCUCAUUCCUCAAAGUCUGACUUUCCCAGGUGUUGCACAAUGAGUUGGAAUGCUUGAGGUGAGUGGAGAGUUUCGCCAGCUGGCAGGGGACCCAAAGUUAGGUGUGAGCUGAAGGAAACGGUGAAAGGAAGACAUUCUAACUACAGAAUGAAGAUUGAAGGGUAAAUGGACCAUCUGAAGCGUAUGUCAAACAUCAGCAUUUCAAAAAAUGGUGAAAUGAGUAACGUAGCCCUAGUUACCGAUGAGUAGAAGCACACUGGGAUAGGGCAAUGCAGAGGAAAAUAAGCUGCAUCACAGAAUUGCAGGGGUUGGAAGGGACCUUGAGAGAUCAUUGAACCCAACCCACCUGCUAAAGUAGGUUCCCUAGAGCAGGUCGCACAGAUAGACAUCCAGAUGGGUCUUGAAUAUCUCCAUAGAGGGGUUUUCCACAGGCUCUCUGGGCAACCCGUUCCAGUGCUCUGUCACCCUUUCUGCACGUUUGUGUGGAACUUCCCAUGUUCAAGUUUUAGGCCAUUACUCCUUGACCUGUUACCAUACACCCCCAAGAAGAGCCUGGCCUCAUCCAUUUGCCUCCCACCUCCCUUUAGAUGUUACAAACAUUAAUCAGGUCCGGCCUCAGUCUUCUUUUCCCCAGGUUGAACAAUCC
Molecule: long non-coding RNA, 2804 nt
Filed under: Gallus gallus (chicken)
Lineage: Eukaryota; Metazoa; Chordata; Aves; Galliformes; Phasianidae
Source: RNAcentral